CCCUACGGGACGCAGCAGUAGGGAAUCUUCCACAAAGGGCGAAAGCCUGAUGGAGCAACGCCGCGUGGGUGAAGAAGGUCUUCGGAUCGUAAAACCCUGUUGUUAGAGAAGAAAGUGCGUGAGAGUAACUGUUCACGUUUCGACGGUAUCUAACCAGAAAGCCACGGCUAACUACGUGCCAGCAGCCGCGGUAAUACGUAGGUGGCAAGCGUUAUCCGGAUUUAUUGGGCGUAAAGGGAACGCAGGCGGUCUUUUAAGUCUGAUGUGAAAGCCUUCGGCUGAACCGGAGUAGUGCAUUGGAAACU
Molecule: ribosomal RNA, 305 nt
Filed under: uncultured bacterium
Lineage: Bacteria
Description: bacterial SSU rRNA
Rfam family: Bacterial small subunit ribosomal RNA
Source: RNAcentral